CUAGCAGUAUCAGAGUUUGAUCCUGGCUCAGGAUGAACGCUGGCGGCGUGCUUAACACAUGCAAGUCGAACGAAGCAGUUUAUUUAGAUCCCUUCGGGGUGACGAAUUUAUUGACUGAGUGGCGGACGGGUGAGUAACGCGUGGGUAACCUGCCUUGCACAGGGGGAUAACAGUUAGAAAUGACUGCUAAUACCGCAUAACCCGCUAGUACCGCAUGGUACAGACGGAAAAGAUUUAUCGGUGUAAGAUGGACCCGCGUCUGAUUAGCUAGUUGGCAGGGUAACGGCCUACCAAGGCAACGAUCAGUAGCCGGCUUGAGAGAGUGAACGGCCACAUUGGGACUGAGACACGGCCCAA
Molecule: ribosomal RNA, 357 nt
Filed under: uncultured bacterium
Lineage: Bacteria
Description: bacterial SSU rRNA
Rfam family: Bacterial small subunit ribosomal RNA
Source: RNAcentral